AUUCCAAUUGGUCAGGGGAUACCGGAUAAUACGCCCCCGGUUUGCAACCGGGAAAUCAGGAGAGUACAUGUAC
Molecule: non-coding RNA, 73 nt
Organism: Serratia proteamaculans 568
Lineage: Bacteria; Pseudomonadati; Pseudomonadota; Gammaproteobacteria; Enterobacterales; Yersiniaceae
Source: Rfam